ACGAGAAGGCAGCUAUACGGCGACGUGAUGCUAAUCCCUAAAGCCUCUCUCAGUUCGGAUUGGAGUCUGCAACCCGACUCCAUGAAGCUGGAUUCGCUAGUAAUCGCGCAUCAGCCACGGCGCGGUGAAUACGUUCCCGGGCCUUGUACACACCGCCCGUCAAGCCAUGAAAGCCGGGGGUACCUGAAGUGCGUAACCGCAAGGAGCGCCCUAGGGUAAAACUGGUGAUUGGGGCUAAGUCGUAACAAGGUAAC
Molecule: ribosomal RNA, 254 nt
Filed under: uncultured bacterium
Lineage: Bacteria
Description: partial 16S ribosomal RNA
Rfam family: Bacterial small subunit ribosomal RNA
Source: RNAcentral